AGUGAACGCUGGCGGUAGGCCUAACACAUGCAAGUCGAACGGCAGCACAGUAAGAGCUUGCUCUUACGGGUGGCGAGUGGCGGACGGGUGAGGAAUACAUCGGAAUCUACUUUUUCGUGGGGGAUAACGUAGGGAAACUUACGCUAAUACCGCCUACGACCUAAGGGUGAAAGCAGGGGAUCUUCGGACCUUGCGCGAUUGAAUGAGCCGAUGUCGGAUUAGCUAGUUGGCGGGGUAAAGGCCCACCAAGGCGACGAUCCGUAGCUGGUCUGAGAGGAUGAUCAGCCACACUGGAACUGAGACACGGUCCAGACUCCUACGGGAGGCAGCAGUGGGGAAUAUUGGACAAUGGGCGCAAGCCUGAUCCAGCCAUACCGCGUGGGUGAAGAAGGCCUUCGGGUUGUAAAGCCCUUUUGUUGGGAAAGAAAAGCAGCAGGUUAAUACCCCGCUGUCCUGACGGUACCCAAAGAAUAAGCACCGGCUAACUUCGUG
RNAcentral lists this ribosomal RNA (492 nucleotides) under uncultured bacterium. RNAcentral's name for it is "partial 16S ribosomal RNA". It matches the Rfam family "Bacterial small subunit ribosomal RNA", at positions 29 to 507 of the family's 1533-position model. The record is from RNAcentral.